Molecule: non-coding RNA, 30 nt
Filed under: Homo sapiens (human)
Lineage: Eukaryota; Metazoa; Chordata; Mammalia; Primates; Hominidae
Source: RNAcentral
CACUCAGAAAGGAGCAGGAUGAGGGAAUGC